AAAAAGAGUGGAAGAAGAGCGGGAAGGGGAAGUGGGAGCAGAUGGAGAGUCUGCCUGUUAGGGUUCCUUUUUGGGAGCCUCCUCUCAUACACAGAGGAUAUAAAUAACACGAUAGAAAAUAUGCUUCAGUCAUCCCUUUUCUGAUCUAGAUUCCCGUUUCAAAAAGAUCUUUUUUUUUUUCAAAAACUCUUUAAAACGACUUCUUUUCUCGAAACCCAUCUCAAAACCCUCGAGUUCCUUGAGGAACUCUUUCGCUGCGAUGCGUCUCCGGUCACUGUGACCAUCAGUGAUGCCUAUUGAGCCGUGACGGUGGAAUGCCCAAUCAAGUAUCUGCAACCCAAUUUUUACCGUCACAAUCUCCUCUAUCACCAAGCCGAUAUGACGAAUUAGGAUUCCGCGUAUGGAUGUUUCGGUUCUAGAGUAGAGAGUCUUUUGUUCUCGGUGGAGUAGAAGGAGUGGAGAAGGGACAUUAAAGCUUCGCUUUUGAAUUUACAAGUAAGGGAGCGAUUGACCCCAUAGAUAUUGGAAAGGAUGCCAUCAUCGGACUUUUUGGAAGGAAGCCUGUACCGUAAAAUGGAUCCCCAACCAAACCAAGAAGGAGUGUCCAACAGAGGUUCAGAAGUGUAUCAGUGAUGCUGCUAAGAAUUCUGGGGAGAUGUUGGUUAAAGAUUCUUUACCAGCAACUGUUGAAGUUGAAAAGGUUGAGGAUUGCAUUUCUGGGGAGCUGCUGGAUAAGGAUUCUUUACCAACAACUGUUGAAGUUGAAAAGGUUGGAAAUUGCAUUUCUGAGAAGUUGUAAGCCUUGGUUAAAGAUUCUUUAAGGCUUCCUCCCAAAAAGUUCAAAGCUUGACGAUGACAUUCCUUCUAAUAUCUAUAGAGGUCAAUCUUUCCCUCACUUGUAAAUCCAAAAGUGAAGUUUCAAUGUCCCUUUUCCACUACUCCAACUCCACUGAGAACACAAGGUUCCUUCUCUAGAUCCGGAACUAUUCAUAUGCUGAAUCCUAACUCGUCGUAUGGUGUUUACGGCUUGGUGAUAUAAGAGACUAUGAUGGUAAAAAUUGAGUUACAGAUACUUGAUCGUGCAUUCCACCAUCACAGCACAGUAGACGUUAUUUAUGGUGGCAGUGAUCAAAUAAACAUCGCAACGAAAGAGUUUCAAGAAACUCGAAGGUUUUGAGAUAAGUUUCGGUGAAGUUGAUGAAAUGAGAAGAUGAUGAAAUGUGAAGAGUAAUUGUUUUAAAGAGUUUUGAGAAAAAAAGUCUUCUUGAAACGGGAAUCAAAAUCGGAAACGGACUGACUCGGCAUAGUUUUUAUCAUGUUAACAAUGUCCUCAGUGUAUAGUUUUUAUCAUGUUAACUAUGUCCUCAGUGUACGGGAGGGGCUCAAGAAGGACAGUUAUCUUUAAUCUACAUUUCCAUCUGCUUCCACUUCCA
This is a long non-coding RNA of Vigna radiata var. radiata (mung bean), 1433 nucleotides long. RefSeq lists it as uncharacterized. Lineage: Eukaryota; Viridiplantae; Streptophyta; Magnoliopsida; Fabales; Fabaceae. The transcript is spliced from 3 exons. The record is from RefSeq and is a predicted model, not a curated record.